This 796-nucleotide ribosomal RNA is filed under the name uncultured Acidobacteriota bacterium. Its description in RNAcentral is "bacterial SSU rRNA". It matches the Rfam family "Bacterial small subunit ribosomal RNA", at positions 71 to 845 of the family's 1533-position model. Lineage: Bacteria; Pseudomonadati; Acidobacteriota. The record is from RNAcentral.
AAAGUCCCGCAAGGGGCAAGUAGAGUGGCAAACGGGUGAGUAACGCGUGGGCGACCUACCUUCGAGUGGGGGAUAACCUUCCGAAAGGAGGGCUAAUACCGCAUGACAUCCUGUGUUUAGAUACACGGAAAUCAAAGCCGGGGAUCGCAAGACCUGGCGCUUGGAGAGGGGCCUGCGUCCGAUUAGCUAGUUGGUGGGGUAAUGGCCCACCAAGGCUUCGAUCGGUAUCCGGCCUGAGAGGGCGGACGGACACACUGGAACUGAGACACGGUCCAGACUCCUACGGGAGGCAGCAGUAGGGAAUUGUUCGCAAUGGGCGCAAGCCUGACGACGCAACGCCGCGUGGAGGAUGAAGACCUUCGGGUCGUAAACUCCUUUCGACCGAGAUGAAUACUCGUUUAUCUAAUACUUAGACGAGCUGACAGUAUCGAGGGAAGAAGCCCCGGCUAACUCCGUGCCAGCAGCCGCGGUAAUACGGGGGGGGCAAGCGUUGUUCGGAAUUACUGGGCGUAAAGGGUUCGUAGGUGGCCGGUUAAGUCAGACGUGAAAUCCCUCAGCUCAACUGGGGAACUGCGUCUGAGACUGAUCGGCUUGAGUGCAGGAGAGGAAUGCGGAAUUCCAGGUGUAGCGGUGAAAUGCGUAGAUAUCUGGAGGAACACCGGUGGCGAAGGCGGCGUUCUGGACUGCAACUGACACUGAUGAACGAAAGCCAGGGGAGCAAACGGGAUUAGAUACCCCGGUAGUCCUGGCCCUAAACGAUGAAUGCUUGGUGUGACGGGUAUCGAUCCCUGUCGUG